AGUGGGGAAUUUUGGACAAUGGGGGCAACCCUGAUCCAGCAAUGCCGCGUGUGUGAAGAAGGCCUUCGGGUUGUAAAGCACUUUUGUCCGGAAAGAAAACUUCGUCCCUAAUAUGGAUGGAGGAUGACGGUACCGGAAGAAUAAGCACCGGCUAACUACGUGCCAGCAGCCGCGGUAAUACGUAGGGUGCGAGCGUUAAUCGGAAUUACUGGGCGUAAAGCGUGCGCAGGCGGUGAUGUAAGACCGAUGUGAAAUCCCCGGGCUUAACCUGGGAACUGCAUUGGUGACUGCAUUGCUGGAGUAUGGCAGAGGGGGGUGGAAUUCCACGUGUAGCAGUGAAAUGCGUAGAGAUGUGGAGGAACACCGAUGGCGAAGGCAGCCCCCUGGGCCAAUACUGACGCUCAUGCACGAAAGCGUGGGGAGCAAA
Molecule: ribosomal RNA, 427 nt
Filed under: uncultured Paraburkholderia sp.
Lineage: Bacteria; Pseudomonadati; Pseudomonadota; Betaproteobacteria; Burkholderiales; Burkholderiaceae
Description: bacterial SSU rRNA
Rfam family: Bacterial small subunit ribosomal RNA
Source: RNAcentral